Long non-coding RNA from Eucalyptus grandis, 381 nucleotides. RefSeq lists it as uncharacterized. The record is from RefSeq and is a predicted model, not a curated record. The transcript is spliced from 3 exons. Lineage: Eukaryota; Viridiplantae; Streptophyta; Magnoliopsida; Myrtales; Myrtaceae.
GUUGGUCUGCAGAUAGUAGACUUCUUUUAAGUGGGAGCAAAGACUACCCUGAAGAUCUGGGAUAUUCGCACGAAGAAGUUGAAACAAGAUCUUCCGGGUCAUGCGGAUGAGAACGUUUUUGCGGUCGAUUGGAAUCCAGACGGUGAGAAUGUUGCUUCUGGUGGUAAAGAUAAGGUGUUGAAGCUAUGGAUGGGAUAAUGCACUGGGAGUUAUACUAAGGCCUGUCAGACCAUUGCAUAUGCAGAUGAAAUGAGAUGGCAGUUCAGAUGCUUUCAUCAGAAGUGAAGAUUGAUUGUUUGAUAACACAUUACGUCUGCAGACAGAAAGUGCAUGCUCAACUAUUAGGUGCUGCGAGUUCAGAUGCAAUUUGGUCGUGUAGAU